RNAcentral lists this ribosomal RNA (349 nucleotides) under uncultured Burkholderia sp. RNAcentral describes it as "bacterial SSU rRNA". It matches the Rfam family "Bacterial small subunit ribosomal RNA", at positions 149 to 493 of the family's 1533-position model. The record is from RNAcentral. Lineage: Bacteria; Pseudomonadati; Pseudomonadota; Betaproteobacteria; Burkholderiales; Burkholderiaceae.
CGGCGAAAGCCGGAUUAAUACCGCAUACGAUCUACGGAUGAAAGCGGGGGACCUUCGGGCCUCGCGCUAUAGGGUUGGCCGAUGGCUGAUUAGCUAGUUGGUGGGGUAAAGGCCUACCAAGGCGACGAUCAGUAGCUGGUCUGAAAGGACGACCAGCCACACUGGGACUGAGACACGGCCCAGACUCCUACGGGAGGCAGCAGUGGGGAAUUUUGGACAAUGGGCGAAAGCCUGAUCCAGCAAUGCCGCGUGUGUGAAGAAGGCCUUCGGGUUGUAAAGCACUUUUGUCCGGAAAGAAAUCCUUGGCUCUAAUACAGUCGGGGGAUGACGGUACCGGAAGAAUAAGCAC